This 785-nucleotide ribosomal RNA is filed under the name Darkera picea. RNAcentral's name for it is "eukaryotic LSU rRNA". It matches the Rfam family "Eukaryotic large subunit ribosomal RNA", at positions 103 to 905 of the family's 3401-position model. The record is from RNAcentral. Lineage: Eukaryota; Fungi; Ascomycota; Leotiomycetes; Phacidiales; Phacidiaceae.
AACAGCUCAAAUUUGAAAUCUGGCCCCCUCGGGGCCCGAGUUGUAAUUUGUAGAGGAUGUUUCGGGUGUGGCUCCGGUCUAAGUUCCUUGGAACAGGACGUCAUAGAGGGUGAGAAUCCCGUAUGUGACUGGCAGCCUACGCCCAUGUGAAACUCCUUCGACGAGUCGAGUUGUUUGGGAAUGCAGCUCAAAAUGGGUGGUAAAUUUCAUCUAAAGCUAAAUAUUGGCCAGAGACCGAUAGCGCACAAGUAGAGUGAUCGAAAGAUGAAAAGCACUUUGGAAAGAGAGUUAAACAGUACGUGAAAUUGUUGAAAGGGAAGCGCUUGCAACCAGACUUGCGUGCGGCCGAUCAUCCGGUGUUCUCACCGGUGCACUCGGUCGUGCUCAGGCCAGCAUCGGUUUCGGCGGCUGGAUAAAGGCCAUGGGAAUGUAGCUCCUCUCGGGGAGUGUUAUAGCCCGUGGUGCAAUGCAGCCCGCUGGGACCGAGGACCGCGCUUCGGCUAGGAUGCUGGCGUAAUGGUUGUAAGCGACCCGUCUUGAAACACGGACCAAGGAGUCUAACAUCUAUGCGAGUGUUUGGGUGUCAAACCCAUACGCGGAAUGAAAGUGAACGGAGGUGAGAACCCUUAAGGGUGCAUCAUCGACCGAUCCUGAUGUCUUCGGAUGGAUUUGAGUAAGAGCAUAGCUGUUGGGACCCGAAAGAUGGUGAACUAUGCCUGAAUAGGGUGAAGCCAGAGGAAACUCUGGUGGAGGCUCGCAGCGGUUCUGACGUGCAAAUCGAUCGU